UGGGGAAUAUUGCGCAAUGGGGGAAACCCUGACGCAGCGACGCCGCGUGCGGGAUGAAGGCCUUCGGGUUGUAAACCGCUUUUGGUUGGGAGCAAGCUUUCGGGUGAGUGUACCUUUCGAAUAAGCGCCGGCUAACUACGUGCCAGCAGCCGCGGUAAUACGUAGGGCGCAAGCGUUAUCCGGAAUUAUUGGGCGUAAAGCGAGCGCAGGCGGUCAAUUAAGUCUGAUGUGAAAGCCCCCGGCUCAACCGGGGAGGGUCAUUGGAAACUGGUUGACUUGAGUGCAGAAGAGGAGAGUGGAAUUCCAUGUGUAGCGGUGAAAUGCGUAGAUAUAUGGAGGAACACCAGUGGCGAAGGCGACUCUCUGGUCUGUAACUGACGCUGAGGUUCGAAAGCGUGGGUAGCAAACAGG
RNAcentral lists this ribosomal RNA (411 nucleotides) under Bacteroidota bacterium. RNAcentral's name for it is "Bacteroidetes bacterium partial 16S ribosomal RNA". It matches the Rfam family "Bacterial small subunit ribosomal RNA", at positions 355 to 776 of the family's 1533-position model. Lineage: Bacteria; Pseudomonadati; Bacteroidota. The record is from RNAcentral.